GACGAACGCUGGCGGCGUGCUUAACACAUGCCAGUCGAACGGAAAGGCCCUGCUUUUGUGGGGUGCUCGAGUGGCGAACGGGUGAGUAACACGUGAGUAACCUGCCCUUGACUUUGGGAUAACUUCAAGAAACUGGGGCUAAUACCGGAUAGGAGCUCCUGCUGCAUGGUGGGGGUUGGAAAGUUUCGGCGGUUGGGGAUGGACUCGCGGCUUAUCAGCUUGUUGGUGGGGUAGUGGCUUACCAAGGCUUUGACGGGUAGCCGGCCUGAGAGGGUGACCGGCCACAUUGGGACUGAGAUACGGCCCAGACUCCUACGGGAGGCAGCAGUGGGGAAUAUUGCACAAUGGGCGGAAGCCUGAUGCAGCAACGCCGCGUGCGGGAUGACGGCCUUCGGGUUGUAAACCGCUUUCGCCUGUGACGAAGCGUGAGUGACGGUAAUGGGUAAAGAAGCACCGGCUAACUACGUG
This 468-nucleotide ribosomal RNA is filed under the name uncultured bacterium. RNAcentral describes it as "partial 16S ribosomal RNA". It matches the Rfam family "Bacterial small subunit ribosomal RNA", at positions 28 to 507 of the family's 1533-position model. The record is from RNAcentral.